Molecule: transfer RNA, 81 nt
Rfam family: tRNA
About the family: Transfer RNA (tRNA) molecules are approximately 80 nucleotides in length.
GGGCAUGUGGUGUAGUUGGUUAUCACGCUCGCUUAGCAUAUCGUUUGCGAGAGGGGUCCGGUUCGAUCCCGGACAUGUCCA